Molecule: ribosomal RNA, 159 nt
Filed under: Ampelocissus ascendiflora
Lineage: Eukaryota; Viridiplantae; Streptophyta; Magnoliopsida; Vitales; Vitaceae
Description: 5.8S ribosomal RNA
Rfam family: 5.8S ribosomal RNA
About the family: 5.8S ribosomal RNA (5.8S rRNA) is a component of the large subunit of the eukaryotic ribosome. It is transcribed by RNA polymerase I as part of the 45S precursor that also contains 18S and 28S rRNA. Functionally, it is thought that 5.8S rRNA may be involved in ribosome translocation.
Source: RNAcentral
GACUCUCGGCAACGGAUAUCUAGGCUCUCGCAUCGAUGAAGAACGUAGCAAAAUGCGAUACUUGGUGUGAAUUGCAGAAUCCCGCGAAUCAUCGAGUCUUUGAACGCAAGUUGCGCCCGAAGCCAUUAGGCCGAGGGCACGCCUGCCUGGGCGUCACGC